GACGAACGCUGGCGGCGUGCUUAACACAUGCAAGUCGAACGGAAAGGCCCUGCUUUUGUGGGGUGCUCGAGUGGCGAACGGGUGAGUAACACGUGAGUAACCUGCCCUUGACUUUGGGAUAACUUCAGGAAACUGGGGCUAAUACCGGAUAGGAGCUCCUGCUGCAUGGUGGGGGUUGGAAAGUUUCGGCGGUUGGGGAUGGACUCGCGGCUUAUCAGCUUGUUGGUGGGGUAGUGGCUUACCAAGGCUUUGACGGGUAGCCGGCCUGAGAGGGUGACCGGCAACAUUGGGACUGAGAUACGGCCCAGACUCCUACGGGAGGCAGCAGUGGGGAUUAUUGCACAAUGGGCGGAAGCCGGAUGCAGCAACGCCGCGUGCGGGAUGACGGCCUUCGGGUGGUAAACCGCUUUCGCCUGUGACGAAGCGUGAGUGACGGUAAUGGGUAAAGAAGCACCGGCUAACUACGUG
This 468-nucleotide ribosomal RNA is filed under the name uncultured bacterium. RNAcentral describes it as "partial 16S ribosomal RNA". It matches the Rfam family "Bacterial small subunit ribosomal RNA", at positions 28 to 507 of the family's 1533-position model. The record is from RNAcentral.